AGCAGGCAAGCUGCAAAGAGCUCCUUUUCUCCCGCCUCUCAGCUGAUCGGCGGGUGGGCGGGGCUUCCACGGAGGCCUCCGUGUAGGCCGCAGUGAAGCCUGAACUCGAGUAGGGCCCAAGCAAGCCAGGAAGGAGGAGGCAGCCAGAGUGUUCUCUGCAGCAGAAGACCCCUUGCUGCCCUGCUUAACCCAGACCAGCAUUUGCCAGAUGUCCUUUUCCAUUGAUACUUCUUCCUCUCCCAACUGCUGGACUGCGCAUGGAAUUUGAAGGUGGCAAGGGAUCUUUUUAACAUAAGUGUGCAAGACCUGUUCACAAGCAGAUGCAUGUUGAUUUCUGAAUAGCUUUAAGGGGGUUGAGAAUAUACCUAUGGGACUGUGAAACAGAUAGAUGCGUAGUUAUGUGUGUAGCAUCAGUGGGACAAAAGAUAAAAUUCACAAGGGAUCUUCUUUGAAAAGUUUGACUGACAGAUUGUCACAUUUUACAAAUAUAAGAAGUUUUGGUGAGGGCCUCUGUGAGACCCUGGCCACACAGAGGCCCAUUGGGCAUGCACGGUGGCCUUCAAAAUAAUGUGUUUUAUAUAAUGUGUCGUUUGGCCCUUUGAUGGAAUGUGGGAAGAAGACUUUCAGGAAUCACAUAUCAUACUAAAUCAGCUAAAUGUCAAGAAAGAUCCCAGCAAAGUGGACCUUUGGAGAGAAAUCUCUGAUAGAAUACACACAGAAGGCUUCAAAAAUCACAACUGUUUUCUCUUUCUGACUGAAGGGACACGUCUCUGAACUUCUUUUGUCAGUUCUCAGUAACAUAAAGUGAAAACGCCUAAUGGAAUCUAGCAAAGUUUAUCCAUGCCCAGAGAGGGUAAGAGUUAUGCAUAAUGCAGUGGUACAAAUGUUAACGGACUCUUGCAAGAAUGCUCACAUUUAUUUUUUAUGACCUUGAGAAAUUGAUCUGCAAAGUGGUCCCACCAGAGAUUGCAUCUGGGCUGUGCAUAGCAUUCAGAGACAGCAACCUGAGUUCCUUCCAUCACAUCUGGUCCGUAUUUACAGAUUGCAGAAGAGCAGGGAUUCACACUUCAGCUGGGUUGUUAUUACAGGCAAUGCACCCCUAAAGUUGAAAUGCAUAGGACUUGAGUAGUAAGAUAUACGUUGCAAGUUUUUUUCUUUGCUAUUCCUCAAAAAAUAUUGAUAAAUAAAACAAAUAAAAUCCCA
This is a long non-coding RNA of Hemicordylus capensis (graceful crag lizard), 1203 nucleotides long. RefSeq lists it as uncharacterized. Lineage: Eukaryota; Metazoa; Chordata; Lepidosauria; Squamata; Cordylidae. The transcript is spliced from 2 exons. The record is from RefSeq and is a predicted model, not a curated record.